AAGAGGCGCACUUUACCACGGCCCUGCAAAGGGAGGACUUGCUCUUGUUGAUGUCUAUCCUGGCGCUGCAGUACAUCAAGUGGGAAGAGGACAGGUGGGGCUAGGGUCUUGAUGUUUCCACCUCCGAAGAAAGAUCUGUGUGACUGUGACUGAUGUGCCAGUGACAGAUUUUAAAGAUGGAUGCCGAACCAGAAGUCCCUUUGAAUCUUCUUCAACCACCAGAGGGCAUACAUGGUUUAGAUUUACUGUUGGGCAACCUCUAACUUCCAUUUUUCUUUGAUAAGACAUCAGUGGGAUAAAGUUAAUAUUUUUGUACAGCAUUAUUAUAAGAAACAAGAAUCAAAGGGUUAUUCAAAUUUGUUCACACCGACAAAAACACACCCACACUCAAGACACCUGUGUGGUGGUUCAUUAAAAAGAUCCUCUCUUAUUGUUCUAAUUAAACAGUAAGUUAAAUGAGAAACAUCUCUGCCCAUGUGUG
Long non-coding RNA from Larimichthys crocea (large yellow croaker), 481 nucleotides. RefSeq lists it as uncharacterized. NCBI's taxonomy places the organism in Eukaryota, Metazoa, Chordata, Actinopteri, Sciaenidae. The record is from RefSeq and is a predicted model, not a curated record. The transcript is spliced from 3 exons.